GCGAGUGUAGUUUAGUGGUAAAAUGACAGCCUUCCAAGCUGUAGUUGCGGGUCCGAUUCCCGUCACUCGCU
RNAcentral lists this transfer RNA (71 nucleotides) under Lactiplantibacillus plantarum. Its description in RNAcentral is "tRNA-Gly". It matches the Rfam family "tRNA". Rfam says of the family: Transfer RNA (tRNA) molecules are approximately 80 nucleotides in length. Their secondary structure includes four short double-helical elements and three loops (D, anti-codon, and T loops). The record is from RNAcentral. Lineage: Bacteria; Bacillati; Bacillota; Bacilli; Lactobacillales; Lactobacillaceae.